GUCCUUACAGCCAUGCCAACUUUCGCCCUCACGGCACUGCGCUUCCCCGCUAAGCUUCUCAAGGAAAUUGACAAGUGUAGACGACGUUUCCUCUGGGGCCAUGAUCAGGAACUCUCUGGCGGCAGCUGCAAAGUCAGCUGGGGAUGGGUCUGCUCACCGGUCGAGCAUGGAGGGCUCGGCAUCCUCGACCUGACGAAAUUCAGCCGCGCCCUUCGGCUUCGUUGGCUCUGGUACGCCUGGAAAAGCCCGGAGCGGCCGUCGGCGGGGACGGAACCACCCUGUGACGCCUCCGACCACGCCCUCUUU
This 306-nucleotide ribosomal RNA is filed under the name Triticum aestivum (bread wheat). RNAcentral's name for it is "partial small subunit ribosomal RNA". Lineage: Eukaryota; Viridiplantae; Streptophyta; Magnoliopsida; Poales; Poaceae. The record is from RNAcentral.